ACUUGGACCCAGCAUAUUGUGAUUUUUUAAUUACGACCUUCAGGUAUAGUUGUAUGCAACAUCAAAAUACUUAAAAUUAUAUUUAGAACACCCUUGAAAUAGUAGAAGUUUAAUAAUUCAAAUUAGCUAAGUUUUGAAAAAAUAAUCAAAAGUUUUGAAAUGGUGUUAUGGUUGAAAAGAUAUUAAUUUUCUUACUAAAGAAAUUUCUUUUAUUAAAUCAUAUUAAUGAAAUUACCUUCAGAGUUUUAUUCUCACUUUUGUUUUACAUUAGAAUGUCCUCAUCAUCUAAGAAAAAAUCAAUUAUUCAUAAAUUAAAGUUUACAUUGUGAUCAAGUUGACACAAACAGAAUAAUCAUAUAGCUCAUACAAUUAGCUCUGUUGCUGUAAGGCCUAAAAUAAUUAUUACAAAAGUAUGAAAUAUUUUAAAGAAGUAAAAUAAUGACCAUUUUAAAUUGUAAACGAAAUUAUUUAAAUACUAUUUCGGUAUUCCUAUACGAUUAAGAUUACAAAAAUAUUUAAAAAAUUGAUAAAAAAAUAAUAGAUAAUUUUAUUGAAAAUUUUAUGAAACAUUUACAAAGGAAUGAUAUAAUUUUACUGGAUUUAAUACCAUAAGAUUCAAUGCAAAUGAUUAUUUUUCUUAAUAUGAAAAAUAAAAUAAAUUUUCUGAGCUCUUCUAGUUAAUUUUCUGAAAAUAUUUUUAUAUUAAAAUUUUAUAUCAAAUGAUGGUUGACUACAUAAUAAAAUCUUGAAUUUUCUAUUAUUCAAAUGAUGUUUGACACAGCAUCCAACACAGACUAUCUAAUGGGAUGAUAAAAAAAGUGCGUUUUGCAAAGUAGUUAUCAUAGAAAUCAAAAAAUAGUUAACAUAAAUUUUAUAGAAAAUGUACAGUAUUAAUUUUUGUAUGAAUUCAAUUGUAAAAAAAAUCAUACAGAUGACAUAUAAAUAAAAUUUACAGCAAUUGAAGCAUCAUGUAGUAAUUUUAAAUAUAUAUAUAUAUAUAUAUAUACAUGCACACACGGUUUUUCAUGAAGUUGUGAAUGAAUAUUUAGAUUACUAAAACAAUACACAAUACUACAGGAAAAUAUUCUCUAUUCUAAUAAAAUAAAUUUGUUACACAAUUGCAUGUAUUGAGGGCUGAAAUGCACAAUUCCCUAUCUGAAAAUGGUGGUUUUGUUGGUCUAACUUGAUACAUGGAAUGUUACUCCAUGCUUUGACCUUGACAUUAAAAAACAAAAUCAAACAUGAAUUAGGAGGUCCAAUCCAUAUAUUUCCUAUUCCUGCAACAACAUUUAAAUGCAAAGGCACUUCAUAUGAAAAUGCAGAUUGAGAAAAAUUAGAACAAAAAUACUUUGAAGGCAUUGGAGGACCAUAUGUCACAAAAUGUGGAUGUGAAGAUGAUGCAUUGCCUAUACUUGAACUUGGUGAAACAAAUUGAUAUACUUGAAUAAAUGUUUUUCUUCCUUCAAAGCUCCACGCUACUCCAAAAAGAUGAUUCUCAUACUCUACAAGAGUUGGAGGAUCUCUAUAAAAUAACUUCAAAUCCAAUGAAUUAGAAGGAGUCUCUUUUAUCCAUGGAUAAAUAAUCCAAGCUAGUAUACUCAAGUUAUAAGAAAUGAUAUAGAUUUUGGAUUCUACGGAUGUUUUGGGAUCCAAAACAAUUCCAACAACACCAUACAUUGUCAAUCCACCAUCAAGAUCAUUUGUAAGUAAGGGAAGAGCAUUAAUUUGUUUUGCAUUAGAAAUUAUAGGAUUAGCUUUGUAAGGUUUAUUGUGUUCUAUCCCAUACUUAUUAGAAGAUUUGCAGAUUGCAAUGCAAAACUCCAACUUUCUAAUCUUACACAUACCCAUAAAAUAAAUUGUAUAACCAUCUCUAUUACUAGUGACGGACAUUCGAGCCGAUGGAUACUCAAAAGAAAAGGUAAGCCGAGGUAAAACUUGGUAGGUUCAAGUGUUAGGAUUAUAUACUAGAAGAAUAAGUUGUGGGGGAGGUAUUGAUUGAUAAUUGUAGGAUGUCUUUAAUGCUAUGUUUUGAUUAUUUUUUUGGAUGCCAGGUAGCAAUAAUAACCCUCCAUCUCCCGCUAGAAUGCCUAAGAUAUGGAUGGAUAGAAAUUCAAAACAAGAAAAUUCUAUCCAUUUUUUUUGUUUCAUGUGAAAUGUGUAAAAUCCAUUAUUCUUUUUGUAUCAAACAAAGUUGGACAAUAUUCUUUGUUGUGUUUCAAGUGACCUUGUACAUAAUAAUUUUGACUUGCAUCUAAAAGUUUUUUCCUCCAUUGUGGAACUACCCAACAUGAUGCAAAUAGCUUUGCCACUGGCAAUUUCUACAAUAUCAUAUCCCUAAUUUUUUUCUUAUUGGGGAUUCCAUGAGAAUUUUAUAUAGUGAUCCACCAAUUGUGAAUACUCAUGCAUGAAAAUGAGGUUUUAUUCUGUACAAGAUCAUCUGAAUAGACAUUAUUAUUUUUUUCCAAUUCUAGUGAAACUUUUAUUGGAUCUACUCCCCGAAGUCCAAAUGCAUCACUUCCCAUGAACUCAUUUGUGCUAUGAACCAAGAGGUUAAGAUUUAAAUUAGUAAUAUCUUCAUAAUUGGAUACCAUUGGUAAUGCAUCACAUUUCACUUUGUAAUAAGAAUGAGUUAGAUCACUAAACAACCAUUGCACUUUUUUUGGUGCAAAUCGAUGACUUUCUAUUGCAAACAAAUUCUUUUUUGCUCGAAUACCUCUUGCCCAACCCUCUAUCCUAUUUUUGUUAAGGAAAUCAUCCAUGCAAGAGAUGGAACCCUUUUGUGAUUUUUUUUCGGGUAUUCCAUCUACAAGAAUUGGAUCUCGGAGAAGAUUUGAAUAAAGUGAACCACGACUUGGUUUUAAUUUUUCUAAUGGUCUUCUUGGCACAUCAUCCCAACCAACAAAAGUUAUCACAUACUAUUUUUUUUUAUAGAAAAGGUUGAAAAGGCUUAAAAACUUAUUUAGUAUUUAACCUGUUCUUUGUUACAUAAUCAAGACAUUUUAAAUUUUCGAAAUUAAAAAAUACACUAUUAAAUAUAUUUUUUUAUUUUUUUAUUUUUUUAUUUAUAUAUGCAUUUGUUGAGUUUCUUAAAUUUAAUUAAAUAUUGAUGAUUCUUUUUAGUGCAUCCAUCAGCUUAUCUUUUCUUUUCUUUUCUUUUUCUCUUACUGAAUAUUGUUCAGUUUGUAUCAAUAAGGUGAAAAAUAGAUAUUAUAUACUAAAUGUUGAAAUUGACUCGAUACCUUAAUAUUACUGGAUAAAUAAAAUAAAAGAAGUGAUACAAUAUCAUGAGUUUCACAGAUUGUCUUAAAAUUAACACCUAUUUGUAAUAAACUAGGACUUGUGCAAUGUUGGUGUUUACAAAUCAAACGAUAUCAAUGAAUUUUUCAAAACCAGAAUGUAUUAUCAGUAUCUAUUUUUUUUUAUUUUUCAAUAGUCAAAAGAAAUAAAGCAUCAAUACAUGCUCAUACUAAUAAAAUAUUAUUAAAAAUUCUUAAAUCACUGUGAAUCUUACAAUUGUUUUACAAAAACUUAUUCACUGAUACAUUAAAAACAUAGUUUCAUGUUACAUUAGCAUGGAAUCUACAUACAGUGUCUGAAACAUGUAAGAAUUAGUAAUUAGUUAUGUACUUGAAAGCACAUUAUUUCAAAUUUUCAUUUGAAAGUAAUAAUAAAACUUUAUGUAACAUGUUUCAGUUUCUCAUUAGAACCUAAAAUUAGAAUCUAUCAAAUUAAUCAUCCAAUACUCAAGCAUAGUACCUAGAGUCAUAUCAUCCAUGAAUUUUGCCUUGGUUCGAUUUUAAAUUUUCAUUUGUUGUCAAACUUCCAAACAAAAUCCAAUUUCCUAAAACUAAAAAAUAAAAAAUUAUUUAUAAGCUUUGCGUAAGGAAUUCCACCAUUCCCAAAGUUUCAAGGUGUGGGAAACCAAAUAAUAAAAAUAGUUUGGAAAUUCUGUAGAAAAUGAAUGGACACAACCUUUCAUAUAUUCUUUGAAAUCACACAUAUCAUACUCUAAUUGUUUUGAUCAUGUGUGCAGGUGUUCCCUAAAUCAAUAAAUUAUAAACCUUAUUAAAUUGUAAAGUACAUCCAGCACCUAUAAGCAGGUCCAAGUCAUAAAAUCCAUUAUAAUUGACAAAACUGGUACAAAAUUUGCUGGCUUAAAAUCCCUAAUUCAUACCAGAUACUGUAGUUCAGCAAGGAGACCAAGCAUGAGCUUGCCCUCUAAUGCUAUUAGUCUAUAAAUCAGUAGAAAAAUUAGCAAGUAAACCAAUGAACUCAUAAUACCAGGUUUAGGGUUUAAGUUAUUUGUAAAUAUUAGAAUUAAUAUUCAAAAAAAGAAGAAGAAGAAGUUUAUGCACCAAAUUAACUAUACAAAUAUUAUGCAAUUUAAAUUUAUCUAAUAAUGUUCUAUAUAAAUAUAAGUAGAUAAUUCAAAUUUUCAAAAAUAUAUGAAUAAAUUACUUGCAAUCAAUUAUUGUUUCUUAUUAUUAUUAUUAUUAUUAUAACAUAGUUUGAUUAAAUAAUUGGAGGUUACUCGUUUUAUUUUCAUUUUUUAAAUCCUAUUUUUAUUUACUUAUUAAUUUAUUGAAGACUGAUUCGUACUAUUAAAAAGAUAAUUGUAUUUGAUAUCAUUUAAAACAAAUUCGUUUAGAUAUUGUAGAUGAAUACUGACCAAUAGAAUAUUAUUUGUGGCAAGUCUAAGAUGAACAAGGGUUCCACUUAUUGCUCUCUUCUACAAUAUCUAAUCAUUUCUCUAAUCUUUUUCUGUCAAGGGGACUCGAGUAAUUAGAUUGAACACCAAUUUCGAAUAUUUGUCUUUCUCACAAUCCAAUUUAAAGGUUAAUUCUCAUUGACCCAACUCUAUGAAUAGCAUUUUAAAUUAAUUAUUCUACAUCCAUUUUUUAAUUUACUAUAUUUUAAUACAUUUUCAAAAUAUGCUCUUAAUUUUCAAACGUAUCAACAAAUUUAAUCUUCAAAACUAGAACAGGUAGCAGCAGACAGUUUAACACGUUUGCACAACAUUAUGAUAAUAUAUAAUAGAACACUAAACAAAACUAAACAUGUAACAUUAAGCAACAUUUAAACUUCUGAUUUUGGAUCAGGACCCCUACCAGCCUAUUAUCAGCACUUAGAAUUAUGCAAACUACUGCAAUCCUGAUUCAGACAUCUCCAAUUACUCGUAAGCAGGUGCUUAAUUUUUUAUGAAACACGUUCUCAAUGACAUGCUACAUUCAAUCUAAUUACUCGAGUCCCCUUGACAGAAAAAGAGUUCCCAAGUCAGCAAAUAGUAGAAAGCGUAGCAGCAGACAAAAGAAACUACAAAUCAAAUAUUAAACUCGACGUAGAUAAUUUGAGAAUCCAGUAAAGUCUACAAACUUAAUGUGCAGGUGACGCUACUCUACUGGUCUACUUUGAGGAACCUCCUGUGAUGACGAUCUGAAAAGCUAAACUAUUUGAGUGGGCGUCUAGCUUUCCAGAAACUUAGAACUACGCUAGCAGUAGACUACGGUUACUUAGAGCUAUUUCCAGAACUGUCCUUUCAAGUCGUAGUGUCUGGUCAUAUUCAAACAUAUUGAACACAUCAAUACCACUUUCCCAAAAACUUUUGGUCUCCAAUCUGGGAGCCCAGAACACUGGGAGACCUAGAAUGUGGAUUUUGCAAGAUAAUAACGAGUGAAAUACUAGAUUCCUGCUAGCAUAAUUUACCAUUACGAUUGCGAAGCGUAGUCAGGAUGCCUAAUCCAAAUCCGCAUGCAGGUAAAGCAGCUGCUUGUAUUCUGAUAACAAUGCAGGGAUGUCGGCAAUUCGUAUCUGAGAUGAAAAAUGACAACUUGUGAACUUUUUGACAUACAAACAGCAUGUAGAUCGCAUGAAAUGGAAUCACUUCUUCAAGUUGCUUAAAGCACUUAAAAUUCUGCCAUGCAGCUAGUUCACUUCUGGGAAGAUCGCUCAUACUUAAGGAUCAUCAAGUAACAUUCCUGAAAAAACUUCAGUGAUGCUCUUCUAGGAGCAAUCUGCUCAACACUGACAUAUCUUAAGUGCAGUAUAAAAAAAACAUUUCGGCCGAGGAACGUGCUUAUUAGAUUUAUGAUAUAUAGAUACAGCUUAAGUUUCAAUACCUGGUUCGCAUCCUUCAAGUGGUAGAACCGGUAUAUCUGCAGCGUAGUGCCUUCUCCAUCCAGACCUCCAACCCUCGAAAUUUCACUACUGCAAAAAUAAUCCUUGUCAACCAGUUGGAAAUUAGAUGACCAUGCGAUACCUUCAAAUUUGUUGCUAAUUGGUUUCUAGUUGCUGAACUCGCAGAAGACAUCACGAGAACAGAUUGGAGGAGUAACAACCUUUGAUGAGUGCCCAGCAAACGCCGGUAGUCCCUAAGUAAGGGACUCAACUCUCGCAGCUGAAUAGAUUGCGCAUUUGAUUGGUUCCAAUGCGCUCUUACUACCUAUAAGAGAUCCAAAAGAUGAUUUCAGCUCUUAUAACGUACCGAUGAUAAGACAAUCAGCUACUUCACAUGUUCAAAAUUGUACACACGUCUUAGCCUGAAACCUACGUAACAAACAGGGAGGAUAGAGGUCUCAUCUGAAUUUGAAAGAAUAUAAAGAUAUAAUCCAUCAUUGACAGGCAUGCCGAAAGUUGAGCCAUCAUUGAAAACUCCUAAAGAGGACAGUGCAUGAUUUCAAAAUCAAAUAUGCACCUUGAGAAGUGAAGUUGCUGUAGCUGGACUAUUCUGAUCAGCUUCGGACAACAAUCCUUUCCCUAACGCAAGAAGCUCUUUAUCAUCGCUAGCUAUUUCAGGAGCUUCCGCGGCAGCAAUGGCUGGUAAUCCAAGUCGUUGUCGCAGAUCAUGGAGUGGCGAUGUAAUGCCUUCAGCUUCAGUCUGCCAGUCAACACAACUACCGUUAUAAAUCAGCUCCAUCGAUAUCUACUGAAGUGUCAUACAAACGCAUAUACCAGAAUGCUGAAAAAGCUGCAAAUAUUUGAUGACAAAUGGAAUAAUGUGGUAUUUAAACACAUACCAAACCUCAGAACUAAACAGAACAUGCGCUUAAGGUAACAUUACUCUGAAACCCAAUCACUACGGCUAAUAAGUUAGCAUACCUUGCUAUCUGUUGAUGGUGGAGGUGAUUUGAGAGUGUUCGGGCCAGGACUUUUUAAACUGCUGGCUGGAGACAGUAGUGCACGCUUUGCAAUUUCAUCUUCUGCAUACAUCAAUGGAGAAGGGUUGAUAAACUCAGUACCCAUCUCAUUCCCAACUGCAUACAGAAUGAAGAAUCUGUUCUCAAACUAUUGCUCUCGAUGUGAACUAGGGUUUUAAGACAAGGACAACUUGCUUGUGCAUUUAACCCAUUGGAUAAUGGACACAACUAAUAAUGAUAAGUCGUAUCAAAAAUAAAUUCAUUGAUUUCCCCAACAAUAAAAUUCACUUGGCUCUUCAGAUUCUCAACUAACUAUUUCAUAAUUCCAUGGUGCAUGAUUUGUCAGAAUUCUGUGUAAGAAAGAGCAGCAGACCGACCUUCAUUUACAAGCCACCACAUGUCACCAAACGUUGUUUUGCCGUCAUAACCUCCUAUCAGCAAGAAUCGCGGACCUAUGCGAGUCAUAGUGUGGUACGCCCUCGCUGGAGGUGGUUC
RNAcentral lists this long non-coding RNA (7628 nucleotides) under Physcomitrium patens. RNAcentral's name for it is "long non-coding RNA (PPAT_LNC007621)". Lineage: Eukaryota; Viridiplantae; Streptophyta; Bryopsida; Funariales; Funariaceae. The record is from RNAcentral.